CACAACUAAUAUAUCGAAAGUUGGAAUGAAGACCGUCAUGUUGAGUCGAAACAACUUCGUUAAGUCUCCUGCAUGCAUAAUUUAUGAGUAGAUAACUUAUGUGUGAAGCCAGGUGAAGUCGGCUGAACAAGCCUAAGUAGCAGUAUGCUAUAUGGCGUAGGAUAGGCCGGACGGCUGAAAA
This 181-nucleotide non-coding RNA is filed under the name Halobacillus karajensis. Lineage: Bacteria; Bacillati; Bacillota; Bacilli; Caryophanales; Bacillaceae. The record is from RNAcentral.